GCCCGCCAUGGUGCCUCCUGUUGACCUGGGCUGCCGACGCCCCUCUGCCUCCCUCCAUGCCCCGACAUACCAGUCGCGGACAACGCCACAAGAGGCAGCUCAGACCGGAGGUAGAGGUGGAGGACCUGCCGUCUAUGUCCUGCCUCUGUGGAGCUCGCUGCAGAUAUGCAACAGGGGGGGGGGGGGAUGUUCCUCGCCUUCAUGGAGUUGCAGCCGCCAUCGACAACGUUCUGGAAAACCUCCAUGAGCUGCGGUUGCCAGUGAUGUCCCUGACCUGCUGCUGCCUGAGACCACUCUGUCCCGCUGCCGUCGGCCACAUCCCAAACUUGCAUCUGACAGGGCAUUUUGGUACGACGCAGUACAAGGUACAACGGUUGUGCAGGGCAUUUCUUCUCUGUUGGCCAGUGAAUGUGUCCAACUAUCAGUGGAUUUAUGAUACAUGCCUGCCUUUUGUUGUAUUAUUGUAUAGAAAAUGGAAACAGGUUGCCAGUGAAAGUGUCCAACUGUCAAUUGAUUUAUGAUAUGUGCUUGCUUUUUGUUGUGUAGAAAAUGAAAAUGGGUUGCUACUGAACGAAUGAACCUGAUUGAACAAAA
Non-coding RNA from Lolium perenne, 594 nucleotides. Lineage: Eukaryota; Viridiplantae; Streptophyta; Magnoliopsida; Poales; Poaceae. The record is from RefSeq and is a predicted model, not a curated record.